RNAcentral lists this ribosomal RNA (311 nucleotides) under uncultured bacterium. RNAcentral's name for it is "bacterial SSU rRNA". It matches the Rfam family "Bacterial small subunit ribosomal RNA", at positions 28 to 334 of the family's 1533-position model. The record is from RNAcentral.
GAUGAACGCUAGCGGCAGGCUUAACACAUGCAAGUCGAGGGGUAACAUAGAGAAGCUUGCUUCUCUGAUGACGACCGGCGCACGGGUGCGUAACGCGUAUACAAUCUACCUCUUACUGGGGAAUAGCCCGGAGAAAUCCGGAUUAAUGCCCCAUAGUAUUGCUACUUCGCAUGUUGAAGCAAUUAAAGGUUACGGUAAGAGAUGAGUAUGCGUCCCAUUAGCUAGAUGGUAAGGUAACGGCUUACCAUGGCAACGAUGGGUAGGGGGCCUGAGAGGGUGAUCCCCCACACUGGUACUGAGACACGGACCAG